CUACGUGCCAGCAGCCGCGGUAAUACGGAAGGUCCAGGCGUUAUCCGGAUUUAUUGGGUUUAAAGGGAGCGUAGGCGGAUUAUUAAGUCAGUGGUGAAAGACGGUGGCUCAACCAUCGUUAGCCAUUGAAACUGGUAGUCUUGAGUGCAGACAGGGAUGCUGGAACUCGUGGUGUAGCGGUGAAAUGCUUAGAUAUCACGAUGAACUCCGAUUGCGAAGGCAGCUUACUAAGGUACAACUGACGCUGAAGCACGAAAGCGUGGGUAUCAAACAGGAUUAGAUACCCUGGUAGUCCACGCAGUAAACGAUGAUAACUGGGCGUAUGCGAUAUACAGUAUGCUCCUAAGCGAAAGCGUUAAGUUAUCCACCUGGGGAGUACGCCGGCAACGGUGAAACUCAAAGGAAUUGACGGGGGCCCGCACAAGCGGUGGAGCAUGUGGUUUAAUUCGAAGCAACGCGAAGAACCUUACCAGGUCUUGACAUCCCUCUGACCGCUCUAGAGAUAGAGUUUUCCUUCGGGACA
RNAcentral lists this ribosomal RNA (523 nucleotides) under uncultured bacterium. RNAcentral's name for it is "bacterial SSU rRNA". It matches the Rfam family "Bacterial small subunit ribosomal RNA", at positions 501 to 1028 of the family's 1533-position model. The record is from RNAcentral.